UGUUGCACUUCGCUCUGUACUGAAAGCUCAUUCAACUGGUCAAGGAACAUUCAGAUUGAUUGCUUUCAUAUACACUAGAUCGGAAUCACGCCUUGGCGCGUGGGUGCCGGUCCCAGUGUUUUGCCGAAACAUGUAACACUAUAUUAGUAGAAACCAAGUAUAACAUUUGCACUUAUAGAGGAUAAUAAUGUAAAGAGACAUUUAAUUGUGAUAGAGCUCAAGAUCAACAUAAGUUUAUAAGGCAGGAUCAAGCUCAGUGCGUUCAUACGACCACAAAAGAUAGCCAUUCGACACGAAAUUCGAUACCAAAAGUACGAACACAUAAGAGGAGGUAAGAAGAACGGGAACAUAAUAAAGAAGAGUCAACUACAGAGCCAUACUUAGUAAGCAUACUAAUAAGUGUCGCAAUUCAUCUGUCUUGUCGAUAUACUUCAUAGGGACCGCCUCACAUGAACCUGAUACUAUCAAGCAUCGACCACAUUACUUACAAUUCCUCUAUGCUUUUGUAUGGCCAAACGAUAGCACUCCGGUCAUUUUGAUUAGAAAGUUUCUUACAGAAGGACAUGAUACAUGAAUUUUUCAAUCUGAACAUAAGUACAUGAGGCCUAAAUAGUGUAUUUAUAGUUCUAUGCUAAUUUUCCAUAUCUAUUCCGUGGUUUAAUAAAUCUUAAGCACAUGUAAUGAUCAACACAAGCACAUGAGUUGUAGGGUACCACAGGAAUUUGAUCAGGCACGUGACAGUUAUACCACAGGAAUAUCUGAUGGACAAAAAUUUUAUAAAAAGUCAGUAACCAACUAAAUGUAAUAGUACACCUAUCAAAAUUCAGUAUACAUAGGCGUGCUACCUAGCUCGGUGGCCCAAAUCCUAACUCUGUGCGCAAAUAAAAGUGUUCGUACACAAUUAGUUCAUGCAAGAGAUUGCCCACAACGUUCUUCUCAAAUAAUGAUGCAUGCAUGAUUCCAAAAUAAAAUAAAUACAGUUCACAAUCCCUCCCCACAAAACACAACACUAUGAAUUAAUUGUAACCAUGUUUAUUUGAUCGAUAAUCAUUUUUUUACCGCAAUGAUAAUCACGUUCUUUUCAUCACGAACAACUGCUUACGGAUUGAAAAUAUAGAUAGGCUGAAGCGCCACAUAGGCAUCAUUCAACAAUUUUAAUUAUUUGCUAAAAUCCCCACUACCCAUGGCAACAAUCACAAACCUUGUUAUUUUAAUAUUUUUUAUUAACUAUAUUUCUGCCGAAAAGUGGUGACACUUUCUACUCAAAUCUGCAAGAUGUAAUUCAGCCAAACACUUUAUGAUCGGAAAUCUAACAUACCUUCUAGUCUAUCCAGCCAAUUGGGGAUCGAUCUAUUCUAUGGAUAAAUCAGAUGACUGAGCGGAAUCCCCAAUCGCUGCCUCUGCCCCCACUUCCGCCGCACAGUUUUGGCUGUCCACACUGCUUCCCCCAUGGUGCGUCUACAUAAUCCCAUUUGCCGAAAUUUAGGUUAGCUGCUCAGAAAUCCGGAAACAAAUCCCUGCGGAACUGCGCACAUCACUAACUCAAAUUUGUACCUGUUAAUUGUUGGCCCGAACUAGCGAGUAGCUAGUUGUCCGAGGAUCAACCAAGUCUAAACUACAGCUAGUGCAAACUAGCAGAGCACAUAGUGCUGCUCACUCACACAUAC
Molecule: long non-coding RNA, 1667 nt
Filed under: Triticum aestivum (bread wheat)
Lineage: Eukaryota; Viridiplantae; Streptophyta; Magnoliopsida; Poales; Poaceae
Description: long non-coding RNA (TAES_LNC001406)
Source: RNAcentral